GAUGAACGCUGGCGGCGUGCCUAAUACAUGCAAGUCGAGCGAACGGACGAGAAGCUUGCUUCUCUGAUGUUAGCGGCGGACGGGUGAGUAACACGUGGAUAACCUACCUAUAAGACUGGGAUAACUUCGGGAAACCGUAGCUAAUACCGGAUAAUAUUUUGAACCGCAUGGUUCAAAAGUGAAAGACGGUCUUGCUGUCACUUAUAGAUGGAUCCGCGCUGCAUUAGCUAGUUGGUAAGGUAACGGCUUACCAAGGCAACGAUGCAUAGCCGACGUGAGAGGGUGAUCGGCCACACUGGAACUGAGACACGGUCCAGACGCCUACGGGAGGCAGCAGUAGGGAAUCUUCCGCAAUGGGCGAAAGCCUGACGGAGCAACGCCGCGUGAGUGAUGAAGGUCUUCGGAUCGUAAAACUCUGUUAUUAGGGAAGAACAUAUGUGUAAGUAACUGUGCACAUCUUGACGGUACCUAAUCAGAAAGCCACGGCUAACUACGUG
This 497-nucleotide ribosomal RNA is filed under the name uncultured bacterium. Its description in RNAcentral is "partial 16S ribosomal RNA". It matches the Rfam family "Bacterial small subunit ribosomal RNA", at positions 28 to 507 of the family's 1533-position model. The record is from RNAcentral.